UGGGGAAUAUUGGACAAUGGGCGAAAGCCUGAUCCAGCCAUGCCGCGUGUGUGAAGAAGGUCUUCGGAUUGUAAAGCACUUUAAGUUGGGAGGAAGGGCAGUAAGCGAAUACCUUGCUGUUUUGACGUUACCGACAGAAUAAGCACCGGCUAACUCUGUGCCAGCAGCCGCGGUAAUACAGAGGGUGCAUGCGUUAAUCGGAUUUACUGGGCGUAAAGCGUGCGUAGGCGGCUAAUUGAGUCGGAUGUGAAAUCCCCGAGCUUAACUUGGGAAUUGCAUUCGAUACUGGUUAGCUAGAGUGUGGGAGAGGAUGGUAGAAUUCCAGGUGUAGCGGUGAAAUGCGUAGAGAUCUGGAGGAAUACCGAUGGCGAAGGCAGCCAUCUGGCCUAACACUGACGCUGAGGUACGAAAGCAUGGGGAGCAAACAGG
This 429-nucleotide ribosomal RNA is filed under the name Pseudomonadota bacterium. Its description in RNAcentral is "Proteobacteria bacterium partial 16S ribosomal RNA". It matches the Rfam family "Bacterial small subunit ribosomal RNA", at positions 355 to 776 of the family's 1533-position model. Lineage: Bacteria; Pseudomonadati; Pseudomonadota. The record is from RNAcentral.